RNAcentral lists this ribosomal RNA (254 nucleotides) under uncultured bacterium. Its description in RNAcentral is "partial 16S ribosomal RNA". It matches the Rfam family "Bacterial small subunit ribosomal RNA", at positions 524 to 776 of the family's 1533-position model. The record is from RNAcentral.
CACGUAGGGCGCAAGCGUUUGUCCGGAAUUAUUGGGCGUAAAGAGCUCGUAGGUGGUUUGUUACGUCUGCUGUGAAAUCCUAGGGCUUAACCCUGGGCUUGCAGUGGAUACGGGCAGACUAGAGGUAGGUAGGGGAGAAUGGAAUUCCUGGUGUAGCGGUGAAAUGCGCAGAUAUCAGGAGGAACACCGAUGGCGAAGGCAAUCCCCUGGGCCUGUACUGACGCUCAUGCACGAAAGCGUGGGGAGCAAACAGG